This 523-nucleotide ribosomal RNA is filed under the name uncultured Acidobacteriota bacterium. Its description in RNAcentral is "SSU rRNA". It matches the Rfam family "Bacterial small subunit ribosomal RNA", at positions 402 to 915 of the family's 1533-position model. The record is from RNAcentral. Lineage: Bacteria; Pseudomonadati; Acidobacteriota.
UGGAGGAUGAAGGCCCUUGGGUUGUAAACUCCUGUCGGUUGGGAAGAAAUUGUUCGGGGCUAAUACCUCCGGACAUUGACUGUACCAGCAAAGGAAGCCCCGGCUAACUCUGUGCCAGCAGCCGCGGUAAUACAGAGGGGGCCAGCGUUAUUCGGAAUUAUUGGGCGUAAAGGGCGCGUAGGCGGCCAUGCGUGUCUUCCGUGAAAUCCCUCGGCUUAAUUGAGGACGUGCGGAAGAAACUGCAAGGCUUGAGUCCGGGAGAGGGGGGUGGAAUUCCCAGUGUAGCGGUGAAAUGCGUAGAUAUUGGGAGGAACACCGGUGGCGAAGGCGGCCCCCUGGACCGGUACUGACGCUGAGGCGCGAAAGCGUGGGUAGCAAACGGGAUUAGAUACCCCGGUAGUCCACGCCGUAAACGAUGGGCACUUGGUGUCGCGGGUAUCGACCCCUGCGGUGCCGAAGCUAGCGCAUUAAGUGCCCCGCCUGGGGAGUACGGUCGCAAGGCUGAAACUCAAAGGAAUGGACG